This 2008-nucleotide long non-coding RNA is filed under the name Equus asinus (donkey). RNAcentral's name for it is "lncRNA (ENSEASG00005026017.1)". Lineage: Eukaryota; Metazoa; Chordata; Mammalia; Perissodactyla; Equidae. The record is from RNAcentral.
UAUGAACAAUACUGUACACUUAUAAACUGGUGAAGAGGAUAUCUCAUGUUAUUUUUUUACCAUAAUAAAAAAUCCUUAACAUAUGUUCAUUUUAUAUCUACAUGAGAGUCAUAAUUUUACCAUUUUUAAAAUAAAUAAUCCUUUGAUAGAAUAAAUGUACAGAUUUGUGUGUGCCUCUGUGCAUGAGUUGGCUUUGUUGUUUAGGCAUUAGAAACAGGUCCCUGGGCCAAAUAACAUGGACCAUGUAACAACUUGGGCUCAUCUUAAAGCAUCUUGGUUAUUUCCAUUUUGCCAACGGGAGCCACUAGAGGGCUAGAAGCAGAAAAGGGAAAUGGGUGGGAUUCUAUAAUUCACUCUGGGUCCUCCAUGGAGAACAGAACAGAUUGGAGGGGGGCAGAAAGCAGGUGAGAAGAUGAGUUUCCUUAAUUGUUUAUUUAAGUUCCAACUAUAGAAAGUGAGUCCUUGGAGUCAAGAAUGUGCAUCUCUCACAAGCACUUUAAACUUGCUUUGCAUGCAGUAGUGAUAAAUUAUGUAGCAGGUGAUGGAUCUGUUUUGAACGACAGCCUUCCCAAAUCUACACACAGGUAAAUACACGGGUAGAAGUAUCUUUCAUAAAAUACUACUUUCAUUUGGUGAUGGAAAUUACUUAUACAUAUAUCUUUCCUCUCCCAGCAUUUACUCACACACAACCUUAGGGAAUAGUUUGGGAGCCCAGAAGUGAGAGGGGAAUAAGUUUGUUUGUUUUUCUGUGUGAGGGCAGGACCCACUCAGCAAGGCGCUUCCCUGAUGUGCAGAGGUGGGUUAGGGGUUGGGAGAGAGGCUUGGGAGGCAAUGAUUCUGGUGUCCCUCUCUCUUUCCCUUCCUUUCAAGCUCCCAUGUCCAGGACUUUCACUUGUCCUGAGAAGCGAAGGAGUUGAAGUUUUUCUCUUCCCUUCUUUUCCAGAAGCCACCAACCCUUCCAGGAAAAACAAGAAUGAGGUCAUAGAACUGUAGAAUGCAGGCUCUGGAAGUGACCAGCUGGUGAACAACGUUCUGGUGUUUGAGGGUCUCAGAUAGGGUGUUAUCUGGGCAGGGUCCUGAUCACCUGACAUAGUAGAUCAUGGAGAGGUCAUAGGGGAGGAAGAAGCCAAACCCAGGGGGCACUCCUGAGCAGGAUCAAGACCAACAGAGGGGAACUUAUAGGGGAAUGUUGAGAGGGCAUGAAGUUCCUGUUUCCAUCCCUAUCAGGGCCAGACUUCCUGCUGCUUCCUGACUCUGGGAUUCAGGACAUCCUGGGCUAGUAACUGCAGGAAGUGCCUGGGCAGAGUUAGGGUGGGAGCCCUGGAGGGGUUGAGACCACCUCCUAAGAGACCAGAAGGCCCCCGACAGAAAUGUCAGAAAGCAUACAAAGAGGAAAAACCUGUUGCAGAAUGAAAUUGAAAAUCAGCUCAGAUGGAGAAAGACAAAAACCAUCCCUGCAGGGAUGGGUGGGGCUCAGGUUGGGUGAGGGGACCGAUACAAAGUUAAAAGGAAAGUUUUCUUUUCUCCCAAGGUCUCACAACAGAUGUAAAAUGCCAUAAGGACCCCCUUCUUUGUGUGAUUAAUGCUUUCUUAUCAGUAAUGCCCAGAGAAUUACUAUGUUAUUCCAUUUAAUUACUAGGGAAACUCCUGGCUAAACUGUCCUCAACUCAUAGGACUACUCAAUCCCUUGUUAUCACCUGAAGGUGGAUGCAGAACAUUAGUCUGAUGAUGGUGGCACACCCUGGAAGGUCCUGGACAUCCCUGACCAACAUCAUUGACCUUGGAUGUCACGAGACCCUUUCCCAGGCUCCUCCCACUCUGCACUGGGGGCUGGCAUUGUCGCUCCUGUGGAUAAUGUCUGUCCAAUCCACCUGGCUGAGCCACAGAGCAACAGGAUGUUCUUGCAAAGGCUCUCUGUUCACUGGUCUCUGUACUGCUCCUUUAAGUAGCUUGCAUCAUGCCAACCUCACUAAAAAAUAAGACAAAACAAUUCUACUAUGAAAGUGAG